AACCCUUGUCCUUAGUUACCAGCACGUUAUGUGGGCGACUCUAAGGAGACUGCCGGUGACAAACCGGAGGAAGGUGGGGAUGACGUCAAGUCAUCAUGGCCCUUACGGCCUGGGCUACACACGUGCUACAAUGGUCGGUACAAAGGGUUGCCAAGCCGCGAGGUGGAGCUAAUCCCAUAAAACCGAUCGUAGUCCGGAUCGCAGUCUGCAACUCGACUGCGUGAAGUCGGAAUCGCUAGUAAUCGUGAAUCAGAAUGUCACGGUGAAUACGUUCCCGGGCCUU
RNAcentral lists this ribosomal RNA (283 nucleotides) under uncultured Pseudomonas sp. RNAcentral describes it as "partial 16S ribosomal RNA". It matches the Rfam family "Bacterial small subunit ribosomal RNA", at positions 1100 to 1382 of the family's 1533-position model. The record is from RNAcentral. Lineage: Bacteria; Pseudomonadati; Pseudomonadota; Gammaproteobacteria; Pseudomonadales; Pseudomonadaceae.